UACGUAGGGUGCAAGCGUUAAUCGGAAUUACUGGGCGUAAAGCGUGCGCAGGCGGUGAUGUAAGACAGUUGUGAAAUCCCCGGGCUCAACCUGGGAACUGCAUCUGUGACUGCAUUGCUGGAGUGCGGCAGAGGGGGAUGGAAUUCCGCGUGUAGCAGUGAAAUGCGUAGAUAUGCGGAGGAACACCGAUGGCGAAGGCAGGUCUCUGGGCUGACACUGACGCUCAUGCACGAAAGCGUGGGGAGCAAACAGG
Molecule: ribosomal RNA, 253 nt
Filed under: uncultured bacterium
Lineage: Bacteria
Description: partial 16S ribosomal RNA
Rfam family: Bacterial small subunit ribosomal RNA
Source: RNAcentral